GCGUUUAUAGUGUAGAGGUUAUCACGUUUGCUUCACAUGCAAGAGGCCACCAGUUCGAGUCUGGUUAAACGCA
This 73-nucleotide transfer RNA is filed under the name Ecytonucleospora hepatopenaei. RNAcentral describes it as "Enterocytozoon sp. ST-2009a tRNA". It matches the Rfam family "tRNA". Rfam says of the family: Transfer RNA (tRNA) molecules are approximately 80 nucleotides in length. The record is from Rfam by way of RNAcentral. Lineage: Eukaryota; Fungi; Microsporidia; Enterocytozoonidae.